AUUGAACGCUGGCGGCAUGCUUUACACAUGCAAGUCGAACGGCAGCGCGGGCUUCGGCCUGGCGGCGAGUGGCGAACGGGUGAGUAAUGCAUCGGAACGUGCCCAGUAGUGGGGGAUAGCCCGGCGAAAGCCGGAUUAAUACCGCAUACGACCUGAGGGUGAAAGCGGGGGACCGAAAGGCCUCGCGCUAUUGGAGCGGCCGAUGUCGGAUUAGCUAGUUGGUGGGGUAAAGGCUUACCAAGGCGGCGAUCCGUAGCUGGUCUGAGAGGACGACCAGCCACACUGGGACUGAGACACGGCCCAGACUCCUACGGGAGGCAGCAGUGGGGAAUUUUGGACAAUGGGGGCAACCCUGAUCCAGCCAUGCCGCGUGCGGGAAGAAGGCCUUCGGGUUGUAAACCGCUUUUGUUCGGGAAGAAAUCCUCUGGGCUAAUACCCCGGGGGGAUGACGGUACCGGAAGAAUAAGCACCGGCUAACUACGUG
This 484-nucleotide ribosomal RNA is filed under the name uncultured bacterium. RNAcentral's name for it is "partial 16S ribosomal RNA". It matches the Rfam family "Bacterial small subunit ribosomal RNA", at positions 28 to 507 of the family's 1533-position model. The record is from RNAcentral.